Molecule: ribosomal RNA, 380 nt
Filed under: uncultured Sphingobacteriales bacterium
Lineage: Bacteria; Pseudomonadati; Bacteroidota; Sphingobacteriia; Sphingobacteriales
Description: bacterial SSU rRNA
Rfam family: Bacterial small subunit ribosomal RNA
Source: RNAcentral
GGUGAAAGCUUACAGUCUCUUCGGAGCAUUUUACGAGGUGCUGCAUGGUUGUCGUCAGCUCGUGCCGUGAGGUGUCGGGUUAAGUCCCAUAACGAGCGCAACCCCUACCUUAGUUGCCAUCAGGUUAAGCUGGGGACUCUAAAGGAACUGCCUACGCAAGUAGUGAGGAAGCGGGGAUGACGUCAAAUCAGCACGGCCCUUACGUCCAGGGCUACACACGUGCUACAAUGGCCGAUACAGAGGGCAGCUACCUGGUGACAGGAUGCAAAUCUCCAAAGUCGGUCUCAGUUCGGAUCGGAGUCUGCAACCCGACUCCGUGAAGUUGGAUUCGCUAGUAAUCGCGCAUCAGCCAUGGCGCGGUGAAUACGUUCCCGGGCCUU